Molecule: long non-coding RNA, 1248 nt
Filed under: Nothobranchius furzeri (turquoise killifish)
Lineage: Eukaryota; Metazoa; Chordata; Actinopteri; Cyprinodontiformes; Nothobranchiidae
Description: lncRNA (ENSNFUG00015009671.1)
Source: RNAcentral
AUGAUAUUUUCUUCUUCAUUCUUCUACUGUACAUCUUCUUCUACAUCUUCUUCUUCUUCUACAUGUUCUUCUUCUUCUACAUCUUCUUCUUCUUCUACAUCUUCUUCUUCUUCUUCUACAUCUUCUUCUUCUUCUUCUUCUACAUCUUCUUCUUCUUCUACAUCUUCUUCUUCUUCUACUUCUACAUCUUCUUCUUCAUCUUCUUCUUCUUCCUCCUCUACAUCUUCAUCUUCUUCUACAUCUUCUUCUUCUUCUACAUCUUCUUGUUCUUCUAUCUUCUUCUUCUACAUCUUCAUCUUCUUCUACAUCUUCUUCUUCUUCUACAUCUUCUUGUUCUUCUAUCUUCUUCUUCUUCUACAUCUUCUUCUUCUUCUACAUCUUCUUGUUCUUCUCCAUCUUCUUCUUCUACAUCUUCUUAAUCUUCUUCUACAUCUUCUUCUUCUUCUUCUACAUCUUCUUCUUCUUCUUCUACAUCUCCUUCUUCUACAUCUUCUUCUUCUACAUCUUCUUCUUCUACUUCUACAUCUUCUUCUUCUUCUACAUCUUCUUCUUCUUCUACAUCUUCUUCUUCUACAUCUUCUUCUUCUUCUACAUCUUCUUCUUCUUCUACAUCUUCUUCUUCUACAUCUUCUUCUUCUUCUACUUCUACAUCUUCUUCUUCUUCUUCUACUUCUACUUCUUCUUCUACAUCUUCUUCUUCUUCUUCAUCUUCUUCUACUUCUACUUCUUCUUCUACAUCUUCUUCUUCUUCUACAUCUUCUUCUACUUCUACUUCUUCUUCUUCAUCUUCUUCUUCUACUUCUACAUCUUCUUCUUCUUCUUCAUCUUCUUCUACUUCUACUUCUUCUUCUACAUCUUCUUCUUCUUCUACAUCUUCUUCUACUUCUACUUCUUCUUCUUCAUCUUCUUCUUCUUCUACAUCUUCUUCUACUUCUACUUCUUCUUCUUCAUCUUCUUCUUCUACAUCUACAUCUUCUUCUUCUUCUACAUCUUCUUCUACUUCUACUUCUUCUUCUACAUCUUCUUCUUCUUCUACAUCUUCUUCUACUUCUACUACUUCUUCUUCUUCUUCAUCUUCUUCUUCUACAUCUACAUCUUCUUCUACAUCUUCAUCUUCUUCUUCUUCUACAUCUUCAUCUUCUUCUACAUCUUCAUCUUCUUCUACUUCUACAUCUUCUUCUUCUUCUUCUUUUUCUUCUUCUUCUUCUUUGGUGGACUGCCCUGUUGACUGGUUUCCACAGUGAUUAA